AUGGAAGAUGACGAUUCUGUAGGAGAAGAAUGUUGGGAUUUGCUUGAGGAUUUAACUCCAGCGUCCACUCCCUCACCACAUUUUCAGGCCAGUUCUGAGUUUAAUGUAGAAGAUUAUGUCAAUGAAGGUGGAGAUGGAAUUCUAGCAGCACCAUCCUUUUUUGCUGAUGGAGAUGGAAUUUUAGCAGCACCAAAUCAUACUAUGAUCAAUAGUAAUGAAAAAACUCAAGACCCGGGUCAGAGUUGCAGCCUGCUGUCCAGUUCCCCAACUGAGGAUUCUCCUCUUUAUAUGCUUGCUACUUCAGAUGGGGCUCUAAGUAAUAUAUAUGCUAUGGAUGACUUGACAGCCAUGAGUGGCAGUCAUGGAGUACUCCCUUCCAUUCAGGAAAAUGUAGGGGCCAGCAGUAUUGCCUUUGCUGGUACAACUGCAGACAUGUGCUUUGUUAAUAACCCACAGUCUCAAUUCCUUGGUCAGCCUUCAACUUGCUCUUCGCCUGAAAUAAUUGAUCUUACUGAGAUGGAUGACAUGGAUGAAACUGACGAUGUACCAAUGGAAUUAGCACCUAUACCUGAAUUAGAUGUUCUUACUGACAUAGAUCAGACUGAUGACGUACCAAUGUUACUACCUAGGAAGAAUGUCACUCUUGCACUAGAUCUUGAUGGCACCCUUAUCCACUCAGCAAGGUGCGACCAUGGCGCAGACUUCUCAUUCCCUAUGCGCCGUGGGGAAGAAGAGUACACUGUCUACGUGAAGAAGAGACCACAUGUAGACGCCUUCCUUGAAGAGGCGGCUCAUAUGUUUGAGCUUGUUGUAUUUACGGCUAGCACAAGCUCUUAUGCAAACCAAGUGAUUAAUGCAUUGGAUCCUGAGAACAGACUGAUAUCACGGCGUUUUUUCCGGGAGUCAUGUGUCUCGGUAGAUGGAAGCUAUCAGAAGGAUCUGACCAUUAUUGAAGCUGAUCUUGCAAAGGUUGCGAUUGUUGACAAUACCCCUGAGGUUUUCCAGCAACAGGUGAAUAAUGGGAUACCUAUAAAGAGCUGGUCAAGUGACCGGUUUGACAUUUCUCUGCUUGAGCUAAUCCCCUUCUUGGAAACAAUUGCGGACGCGGAUGAUGUCCGGCCGAUCAUUGCAAACAAAUUUGCCAAUUAA
Molecule: ribosomal RNA, 1149 nt
Filed under: Triticum aestivum (bread wheat)
Lineage: Eukaryota; Viridiplantae; Streptophyta; Magnoliopsida; Poales; Poaceae
Description: partial small subunit ribosomal RNA
Source: RNAcentral